This 1364-nucleotide ribosomal RNA is filed under the name uncultured bacterium. RNAcentral's name for it is "16S ribosomal RNA". It matches the Rfam family "Bacterial small subunit ribosomal RNA", at positions 32 to 1393 of the family's 1533-position model. The record is from RNAcentral.
AACGCUGGCGGCGUGCCUAACACAUGUAAGUCGAACGCUCGUUUGUGGAGCGAUCCAGAAACGGGAGUGGCGAACGGGUGAGUAACACGUGGGUGACCUGCCCCGGGGUGGGGGAUAACGCGCCGAAAGGCGCGCUAAUACCGCAUGAGCCCUGGAAGUCGGAUUGUAGGGGAAAGCUCAAAGGAGAGAUCUUUUGGGCGCCGUGGGAGGGGCCCGCGGCCGAUUAGCUAGUUGGUGAGGUAAGGGCUUACCAAGGCGACGAUCGGUAGCCGGUCUGAGAGGACGGACGGCCACACUGGAACUGAGAGACGGUCCAGACUCCUACGGGAGGCAGCAGUGGGGAAUUUUGCGCAAUGGCCGCAAGGCUGACGCAGCAACGCCGCGUGGAGGAAGAAGGUCUUCGGAUCGUAAACUCCUGUCCGAGGGGACGAAAGAGAUGACGGUACCCUGGGAGGAAGCCCCGGCCAACUCCGUGCCAGCAGCCGCGGUAAUACGGGGGGGGCGAGCGUUGUUCGGAAUUACUGGGCGUAAAGGGCGCGUAGGCGGCCCGGGUAGUCUCGGGUGAAAGUCCUCGGCUUAACCGGGGAAGGGCCUGAGAAACCACUGGGCUAGAGUGCUGGAGAGGGGAGCGGAAUUCCCGGUGGAGCGGUGAAAUGCGUAGAAAUCGGGAGGAAGAUCGGCGGCGAAGGCGGCUUUCUGGACAGACACUGACGCUGAGGCGCGAAAGCCAGGGGAGCAAACGGGAUUAGAUACCCCGGUAGUCCUGGCUGUAAACGAUGGGCACUAGGCGUGGGGGGUAGAACAGUCCCUCGGCGCCGGCGGAAACCCGCUAAGUGCCCCGCCUGGGGAGUACGGCCGCAAGGCUGAAACUCAAAGGAAUUGACGGGGGCCCGCACAAGCGGUGGAGCAUGUGGUUUAAUUCGACGCAACGCGAAGAACCUUACCGGGGUUUGAACUGUCGUUGCCGCCACGCGAGAGCGUGGGUUCCUUUCGGGGACAGUGACAGAGGUGCUGCAUGGCUGUCGUCAGCUCGUGUCGUGAGAUGUUGGGUUAAGUCCCGCAACGAGCGCAACCCUUGUCGGUAGUUGCCAACAGGUGAAGCUGGGCACCCUACCGAGACUGUCGGCGAAAAGCCGGAGGAAGGUGGGGAUGACGUCAAGUCCUCAUGGCCUUUAUGCCCCGGGCGACACACGUGCUACAAUGGGCGGUACAAAGGGGAGCGAGCGGGUGACUGCAAGCGAAUCCCAAAAAGCCGCUCACAGUUCAGAUCGCAGUCUGCAACUCGACUGCGUGAAGGUGGAAUCGCUAGUAAUCGCGGAUCAGCAUGCCGCGGUGAAUACGUUCCCGGGCCUUGUACACACCGC